CAGAAAAGCCAGAAGACAUCUAGCACACCAGAAUAGGAGUCCUGUCUUAACUGAGCAAUAUACACUAUGGAGAGAUCCUUCAAAACCCGUUGGGACGAAUAACAGAUGA
RNAcentral lists this long non-coding RNA (109 nucleotides) under Mus spicilegus (steppe mouse). Its description in RNAcentral is "lncRNA (ENSMSIG00000012247.1)". Lineage: Eukaryota; Metazoa; Chordata; Mammalia; Rodentia; Muridae. The record is from RNAcentral.